Molecule: long non-coding RNA, 415 nt
Organism: Sinocyclocheilus rhinocerous
Lineage: Eukaryota; Metazoa; Chordata; Actinopteri; Cypriniformes; Cyprinidae
Exons: 3
Source: RefSeq, a predicted model, not a curated record
GUGUUUCAGGUAGCUGUUAAGUUGUUUCUAUGUGGUUGCUAAGCGGUGGCUAGGGUGUUUCAGGUAGCUGUUAGGUUGUUUUUAUGUGGUUGCUAAGCGGUUGCUAGGCUGUUCCAGGUAGCUGUUAGGUUGUUUCUAUGUGGUUGGUAAACGGUUGCUAGGGUGUUUCAGGUAGCUGUUAGGUUGUUUCUAUGUGGUUGCUAAACGGUUGCUAGGGUGUUUCAGGUAGCUGUUAAGUUAUUUCUAUGUGGUUGCUAAAUGGUUGCUAGGGUGUUUCAGGUAGCUGUUAGAUUGUUUCUCUGUAGUUGCUAUGCGGUUGCUAGUGUUUCAGGUAGCUGUUAGAUUGUUUCUCAGUAGUUGUUAUGCGGUUGCUAGGUAUUUUAGGUAGCUGUUAGGUUGUUUCUAUGUGGUUGCU